CACGGGGGGAGCAAGCGUUGUUCGGAAUCACUGGGCGUAAAGGGCGUGUAGGCGGUCCGGUAAGUGAGAUGUGGAAUCCCUCGGCUCACCCGAGGACCUGCAUCUCAAACUGCCUGACUCGAGUACGGGAGAGGAUGUGGGAAUUCCUGGUGUAGCGGUGAAAUGCGUAGAUAUCAGGAGGAACACCGGUGGCGAAAGCGCACAUCUGGCCCGAUACUGACGCUGAGGCGCGAAAGCUAGGGGAGCAAACGGG
RNAcentral lists this ribosomal RNA (253 nucleotides) under uncultured bacterium. Its description in RNAcentral is "partial 16S ribosomal RNA". It matches the Rfam family "Bacterial small subunit ribosomal RNA", at positions 524 to 776 of the family's 1533-position model. The record is from RNAcentral.